This 86-nucleotide microRNA precursor is filed under the name Pelobates cultripes (western spadefoot toad). Lineage: Eukaryota; Metazoa; Chordata; Amphibia; Anura; Pelobatidae. The record is from RNAcentral.
CUCCAGAUGUUGCUGAACUACAACUCCCAUGAUUCUAUGAUUGAAGGCUGAGAAUCAUGGGAUUUGUAGUUCAGCAACAUCUGGAG